Callithrix jacchus (white-tufted-ear marmoset) is the source of this 164-nucleotide small nuclear RNA. Its record names the gene U1. It matches the Rfam family "U1 spliceosomal RNA". Rfam says of the family: U1 is a small nuclear RNA (snRNA) component of the spliceosome (involved in pre-mRNA splicing). Its 5' end forms complementary base pairs with the 5' splice junction, thus defining the 5' donor site of an intron. Lineage: Eukaryota; Metazoa; Chordata; Mammalia; Primates; Cebidae. The record is from Ensembl.
AUACUUACCUGGCAGGGGAGGUACCUUGAUCACGAAUGUGGUUUUCCUAAGGCGAAGCUUAUCCAUUUCACUCCGGAAGUGUUGACCCCUGCGAUUUCCCCAAAUGUGGUAAACUCCACUGCAUAAUUUGUGGUAGUGGGGAACUGUGUUCGUGCUUUCCCCUG